CAGUAGCCACGGGAAUACGAGGGGGGCAAGCGUUGUUCGGAAUUAUUGGGCGUAAAGGGUGCGUAGGCGGUUCAGCAAGUCUCGUGUGAAAUCUUCGGGCUCAACCCGAAGUCUGCACGGGAAACUACUGGGCUUGAGUAAUGGAGAGGUGAGUGGAAUUUCCGGUGUAGCGGUGAAAUGCGUAGAUAUCGGAAGGAACACCUGUGGCGAAAGCGGCUCACUGGACAUUUACUGACGCUGAUGCACGAAAGCUAGGGGAGCAAACAGGAUUAGAUACCCCCGUAGUCCCUGUCUCUUAUAC
This 301-nucleotide ribosomal RNA is filed under the name uncultured bacterium. RNAcentral's name for it is "partial 16S ribosomal RNA". It matches the Rfam family "Bacterial small subunit ribosomal RNA", at positions 509 to 807 of the family's 1533-position model. The record is from RNAcentral.